CCUACGAGAGGCAGCAGUGGGGAAUAUUGCACAAUGGGCGAAAGCCUGAUGCAGCCAAGCCGCGUGAGCGAUGAAGGCCUUCGGGUCGUAAAGCUCUGUCCUCAAGGGAGAUAAUUACGGCACUUGAGGAGGAAGCACCGGCUAAGUAAGUGCCAGCAGCCGAGGUAAUACGUAGGGGGCUGGCGUUAUACGGAAUUACUGGGCGUAAAGGGUGCGUAGGUGGUUUAUUAAGUCAGAGGUGAAAGGCUACGGUUCAACCGUAGUAAGCCUUUGAAACUGGGGAACUUGAGUGCGGGAGAGGAGAGUGGAAUUCCUAGUGUAGCGGUGAAAUGCGUAGAUAUUAGGAGGAACACCAGUUGCGAAGGCGGCUCUCUGGACUGUAACUGACACUGAGGCACGAAAGCGUGGGGAGCAAACAGGAUUAGAUACCCCUGUAGUC
RNAcentral lists this ribosomal RNA (439 nucleotides) under uncultured bacterium. Its description in RNAcentral is "partial 16S ribosomal RNA". It matches the Rfam family "Bacterial small subunit ribosomal RNA", at positions 338 to 795 of the family's 1533-position model. The record is from RNAcentral.